This 256-nucleotide ribosomal RNA is filed under the name Pleurotus nebrodensis. RNAcentral describes it as "partial 28S ribosomal RNA". It matches the Rfam family "Eukaryotic large subunit ribosomal RNA", at positions 3139 to 3401 of the family's 3401-position model. Lineage: Eukaryota; Fungi; Basidiomycota; Agaricomycetes; Agaricales; Pleurotaceae. The record is from RNAcentral.
AAUCCGUGCUAGAAACGAUGAUGUUGGUCCCGCACAUGUAACUAGUGUUAAAAUAGAGCUUUGCUCGUAAACCAAAUCAGGUGGACUUGGUUAACCUUGCGGAAAUGCUGGGUUGGCUUGUCUACGAAUUGUAAUAAUUAUAUGCGCGGGGGUGAAUCCUUUGCAGACGACUUGAAUGGGAACGGGGUACUGUAAGCGGUAGAGUAGCCUUGUUGCUACGAUCCGCUGAGGUUAAGCCCUUGUUCUAAAGAUUUGU